RNAcentral lists this non-coding RNA (23 nucleotides) under Cricetulus griseus (Chinese hamster). Lineage: Eukaryota; Metazoa; Chordata; Mammalia; Rodentia; Cricetidae. The record is from RNAcentral.
UAAAGACAUUUGUACAUUCCUGA